Molecule: transfer RNA, 68 nt
Filed under: Dendropoma gregarium
Lineage: Eukaryota; Metazoa; Mollusca; Gastropoda; Littorinimorpha; Vermetidae
Description: tRNA-Ala
Source: RNAcentral
GAUACGAUACUUUAAAUGAAAAGAUUUGAUUUGCAUUCAAACACUGCGCACAAAUGUCGCUCGUGUCC